CAUUGUGUUCACUUUGGUAUACUAAAGUUGGAAUGAUACAGAGAAGAUUAGCAUGGCCCCUGCACAAGGAUGGCACGCAAAUUUGUGAAGUAUUCCAUAUUUUU
Dipodomys spectabilis (banner-tailed kangaroo rat) is the source of this 104-nucleotide small nuclear RNA. The record is from RefSeq and is a predicted model, not a curated record. Lineage: Eukaryota; Metazoa; Chordata; Mammalia; Rodentia; Heteromyidae.